UUAGAAAAAAUAUACUCUGUUUAGCAAAAAAUAACCUUUACUUCAGUAGAAAUUGCUAAGGCAACCUAAAAUGUAAACAUGUUCUGCCCAAUGCCUCCUAGCUAUUGCUUAAAGAUAUAAAAAUAAAUCAGACCCUGAGACUUCUCAGAGGGAACCUGAACAUUGCUUGAGGAGUUUCUUUUCUCAUCGCCAGCCCAGGACAUCUCCCCUUCCUACCCUGCAUCAACAUCGACUGCAGCUGGUCUGCGGCAGAUACCUAUUUAGAAUAUCAACCACUGCCAUUGAUCUCUAGGGGAAGUAUCUUUAAAGGGUGUCAUAAAAUUAUAGUUAUUCAGGAGCACAAAUCCACAACUCUGUGAAGUUAAGAUGAAGAUCACGUUGACACUAGCUCCCUGUUGCUCCCAGCCUUCAGAAAGCACAAGGCUGGCACUUGUGGAUCCUCCAGGAGAGAUUUCCCCAGGAGCUCGCAGGCUCCCUCUGCUGGACCUCGGCCCAGUGACGCUCGGUCUAUCCCUAUCCAAGUCCUGAGAAUCCAACUGAGCAAAGAAUCAUUGCUGCUGAGAUCCCAUGUUCAGGUCCCCUCCAGUUAACUGACAUAUAUCUCUGAUCCAUUUUCAUUCCCCGAACAUUAACAACAAGCAUUAUAUAAGAAUGAACACCACUGCAAUAAGAUUGCAAAAAAUAUAGAACUUUUAAUCCAAAAUAAAGAGCUCUGAAAAAUUGUGCCUUGUAGAUUCUUUAUAAUGCUCUUACUGUAUAGGGUGUUAAUAAAACUAAAUAAGGUGCCUCAUUUCUUUGAACACCCACACUCUGCUCUUGAGUGCAUCCAUAUCUUCCUCUAAUAAAUCUUUCUCAUGUCUCUUUUUAAAUAAAUAAAUAAAUAAAACUAAGCUUUCUAGUAAAUGAUGUAAAUUGAUGCAUUUUCUCCAUAUGAAAUGUUUACAAUAUUUUCUAAUUUUCAUGACACUUUAAAGAAUUCCAAUUUUUAAAUCAUAUUUACUUGUGGUUUC
Molecule: long non-coding RNA, 1010 nt
Filed under: Heterocephalus glaber (naked mole-rat)
Lineage: Eukaryota; Metazoa; Chordata; Mammalia; Rodentia; Bathyergidae
Description: lncRNA (ENSHGLG00100046934.1)
Source: RNAcentral